CAGUAGCCGCGGUAAUACGUAGGUGGCAAGCGUUGUCCGGAAUUAUUGGGCGUAAAGGGCUCGCAGGCGGUUUCUUAAGUCUGAUGUGAAAGCCCCCGGCUCAACCGGGGAGGGUCAUUGGAAACUGGGAAACUUGAGUGCAGAAGAGGAGAGUGGAAUUCCACGUGUAGCGGUGAAAUGCGUAGAGAUGUGGAGGAACACCAGUGGCGAAGGCGACUCUCUGGUCCAUUACUGACGCUGAGGUGCGAAAGCGUGGGGAGCAAACAGGAUUAGAUACCCCGGUAGUCCCUGUCUCUUAUAC
RNAcentral lists this ribosomal RNA (301 nucleotides) under uncultured bacterium. RNAcentral's name for it is "partial 16S ribosomal RNA". It matches the Rfam family "Bacterial small subunit ribosomal RNA", at positions 509 to 807 of the family's 1533-position model. The record is from RNAcentral.